AUUACAAUCAACCACAUCGUUCUCUGUGAUACACUCGAAGAAGAAAGGUGGACAUGGAGACGCCCUGGACGGGAAUAGGCGUUCUUCUUUUAAUUGAAGUUUGUUUUAGUUUACGGGUGUUUACUUCUACCAGGUUGGACGGAGCUUUUCCAUUGGCAAGAAAGGGACUGACCGUUACAAAUAUCACACAAUUAAGAUUUAAACUAAAAGCCUGUGGUCCUGGUCAUUUAAUCCUCCAGAAAGACGACGUGGUGGAUUUCAAUACUUACGGGAGUUGGACAUUUGUGGUAGGAUCAGACGAAAACGCAAGGGCUGAAAUUAGACCAGCACUUUUUGGUGCAAACUAUGGCAGUCACUAUGAAGUUCUCUUGGACUGUAAUGAGUUUCGGCCAUUUUGGAUCCGUUGGAAAGAAGGAUUGUUAGAGCUAGGAAAAGGCAACGAAUUUGGUACUGACAGGAUAUCUUUUCAUACAAUCUCUCCUGUUGGAUUCAACUAUGCUUUCUUAUUAACUGGAUGGGAAGAAAUUGGCUGCUGGGAUAUAGACACUGGGUUGGCGACGUUGGCUUCUGAAUGGAAGAAGUUGUCAGGAAACAAGACAAUCCAAGGUUCGUGGGUGUUGAGUUACCAUAAUAGAAGCCUGAUAGAAUGUAAUCUUAAAUGUGCAACACCUAAUGAAGAUUUACCAUGUGGAUGUGUGGAGUAUAGUUAUAAUAAGUUAACUAAACAAUGUUUAGUUGUUGAUGAGAGUGAUGACGUCACCAUGGUGGAUGAAGCAGGCUGGAAAACAUGGAACCUAGUGUAAAUAAAUCUUAUGUGACGUGGUUUCCCUAUUUAAGUCAAGAACUUGCUAUCCGUCCCUAUUUAAAAUUCCAGAAGCCAAUACCGGUGCAAUAUUAAGAUCUACCAUGUCCUGUGUAGAAUAGUAAUUAAAGUGGGAUUCCGUCGAAGUUCAUAGUUUUUCUAGUUAAAUGUCAGUCUAUCUAAUUACUCUAAUCUCUACAAGUGUUUAUCUAUGUAAAUAGUAUGGUUCGAGAAAGUAAGACUAAAAUGUUUGCAAAUCAUGACACUGUGGAUCUGACAUAUUUUGAAAUAAUUUAUCUUUCCCGUUGGAUUGAAUUAUUCUGUAUUUAGUAUACUUUGAAUACCUCGAGAUAUCCCUCUCGAACUCAAUUAAAAUAAUAUCGAUGAGAUUGUGAAUCGCCAGUGAAUCUGGAUUGAAAUGAAGCUUCACACUACGCCUGUUCCGUCGCUGAUAUCAUGCUACUAUCGACCACUAAUCAUAACUGAAACACGCUAACGCCCGCCAAAGAUAUUACAUUGAUAAAUGAAAUUGAUUAAUAUUUGAACUCAAUCAAAUAAAGUUACACACUUUCGUAUAUUUCGUUGCUGUAAGGUAUGAAAUCUCUGGUUCAGAUUUUAAAAACACUGGUCUUGUGUAAAUAUGUUUGCUUUGUUACUUUAUUGUUUAUUAAUAUCUAAUAUGCAUGUACAUCUAUUCACCUAGUUUCAUUGACAACCUGUGAUAUUAAUCCUUAUAAGACAUUACAGCCUUUCAUCUUGUUAAUCCUUUGUAAUUGUUUAUCCAUAUUAUUACUUCUCUCAUCUUGUUAAUUCUUAAUUAAUGAUUAAUCUGUUACAUGGUGUCCAAUUGUUAUCUAUAUAUUGCACCACAUUUUUGUAAAAUAUCAUUAUU
Patella vulgata (common limpet) is the source of this 1694-nucleotide long non-coding RNA. RefSeq lists it as uncharacterized. The record is from RefSeq and is a predicted model, not a curated record. NCBI's taxonomy places the organism in Eukaryota, Metazoa, Mollusca, Gastropoda, Patellidae. The transcript is spliced from 3 exons.